This is a long non-coding RNA of Amphibalanus amphitrite, 232 nucleotides long. RefSeq lists it as uncharacterized. The record is from RefSeq and is a predicted model, not a curated record. The transcript is spliced from 3 exons. Lineage: Eukaryota; Metazoa; Arthropoda; Thecostraca; Balanomorpha; Balanidae.
CGACUCUGGGACGCUAGGAGGGUCAAGGUGGAGACCGCCCAGAACAGGGGCGUGUCGCCGGAUGGGGCGGCCGGCUACCGUUACGGGCUGCGUCGGGCCACCGACGGCCACCCGCUCUCCGCCGAGGAGGUACAGAAGGUCGUCAGCCGGGUGAACCAGCUCUCCAGCUAGCGGCGCAGAGGGUGGUGGCCGUGAACGCCUGUCGGACGGCGCCGGAGGGCAGCGCCGGCCG